This 556-nucleotide ribosomal RNA is filed under the name bacterium. Its description in RNAcentral is "bacterial SSU rRNA". It matches the Rfam family "Bacterial small subunit ribosomal RNA", at positions 43 to 582 of the family's 1533-position model. The record is from RNAcentral.
UGCGCGUCUAUCAUGCAGUCGAGCGGACAGAUGGGAGCUUGCUCCCUGAUGUUAGCGGCGGACGGGUGAGUAACACGUGGGUAACCUGCCUGUAAGACUGGGAUAACUCCGGGAAACCGGGGCUAAUACCGGAUGCUUGUUUGAACCGCAUGGUUCAAACAUAAAAGGUGGCUUCGGCUACCACUUACAGAUGGACCCGCGGCGCAUUAGCUAGUUGGUGAGGUAACGGCUCACCAAGGCAACGAUGCGUAGCCGACCUGAGAGGGUGAUCGGCCACACUGGGACUGAGACACGGCCCAGACUCCUACGGGAGGCAGCAGUAGGGAAUCUUCCGCAAUGGACGAAAGUCUGACGGAGCAACGCCGCGUGAGUGAUGAAGGUUUUCGGAUCGUAAAGCUCUGUUGUUAGGGAAGAACAAGUACCGUUCGAAUAGGGCGGUACCUUGACGGUACCUAACCAGAAAGCCACGGCUAACUACGUGCCAGCAGCCGCGGUAAUACGUAGGUGGCAAGCGUUGUCCGGAAUUAUUGGGCGUAAAGGGCUCGGAGGCGGUUUC